Molecule: ribosomal RNA, 504 nt
Filed under: uncultured bacterium
Lineage: Bacteria
Description: bacterial SSU rRNA
Rfam family: Bacterial small subunit ribosomal RNA
Source: RNAcentral
GACGAACGCUGGCGGCGUGCCUAACACAUGCAAGUCGAGCGGGGUUGAGGCGAGAGGUAACUCGAGCUUCUACCUAGCGGCGGACGGGUGAGUAACGCGUGGGCAACCUGCCUCAAGGUUUGGGAUAACAGCCCGAAAGGGCUGCUAAUACCGGAUAUGCCUAUGGCCUCGCAUGGGGCUAUGAGCAAAGGGGAAACCCGCCUUGAGAUGGGCCCGCGUCCCAUCAGCUAGUUGGUGAGGUAACAGCUCACCAAGGCGACGACGGGUAGCCGGCCUGAGAGGGUGACCGGCCACACUGGGACUGAGACACGGGCCCAGACUCCUACGGGGGGCAGCAGUGGGGGAUCUUGCACAAUGGGCGAAAGCCUGAUGCAGCGACGCCGCGUGAGCGAAGAAGGCCUUCGGGUUGUAAAGCUCUGUCUGGAGGGACGAACAAAAUGACGGUACCUCCGGAGGAAGCCACGGCUAACUACGUGCCAGCAGCCGCGGUAAUAUCACGUUACG